RNAcentral lists this non-coding RNA (21 nucleotides) under Caenorhabditis elegans. The record is from RNAcentral. Lineage: Eukaryota; Metazoa; Nematoda; Chromadorea; Rhabditida; Rhabditidae.
UUCACUAUUUCUGGUUCUGUU